AAAGAUCAGAGGUGAGUUAUCUUUUUAUUCAAAAACCAAGCAAGUCAUCUGUAUGAUCUCACUAGGAACUACACUAGACAUAAAAGGAUAUGGAGAUGUGUCAAAGUCCCAGUGAACCUUGGUCCAGCUACUUCUGCACCGGAGCUCCACCAGGGUUUUGAGAAGGAAUGUCUUUGUGCACAAUUAGAUUUACUUUGGGAGCCAAAGUGAAAAAUCUGCUAAUGAAUGAGCGCAUCAGCUAUGGAGGCGUGCUAAUCAGACAUGUUAUGAAGAGAGAACCUGUAGGAGGAGUGUGGUUGGUUAACUCCCUCUGGCUGUCACACCUUUGGGAUCCACUGCAGGAUAUACACCUAUACCAUGCUUUUUCCCUGCUGCUUCCCAGGCAAUGGCUGACACAGCCAGGAGAAUUCUGCUCAAUGAGAGACUACUCCAAUGUCCUGUCUUCAGUGAGAUUCUCCAUUAACCAACAUGAAACUUUCUCAAGGCUGUAAUGCAGUCUAAGGUGUUUCCUGCCCAAUGUUUCUCUUCCUUCCAUUCAUAGGUGUCUGAUCUGCAUUAUGGCUUGGAAGCUGUCCUUGUUUAUUUCUGCUGCCCUUUCCCUUUAGGCACAAGCAUUUUCCCUAGUAAAUCUCUUGAACUUCUGGUCCCAUGAUGACAUCUGCUUCCUUAAGGACCUUAGCUGGUAGCGAGUUUUCCUUUACAUUUAUCAAUAUGGCAGAUAUUUUGUUCUUAGAUCUUUCCAGGGUUCUACCAGUUUAUGUUUUAUCUCUCCUUUUUGUAGCAACAUCUCUUUCCUGAAUUCUUAUAUUUCUGUUUGUGGUUUUCUUUUAUAAAUUCAUUUACUUUAAAUACAUAGUGGAAUAAUCACAAUUUUCAUCUGCUUCAUUCCCCU
This 892-nucleotide long non-coding RNA is filed under the name Homo sapiens (human). Its description in RNAcentral is "HSALNT0306911". Lineage: Eukaryota; Metazoa; Chordata; Mammalia; Primates; Hominidae. The record is from RNAcentral.